This 1249-nucleotide long non-coding RNA is filed under the name Homo sapiens (human). Its description in RNAcentral is "HSALNT0331771". The record is from RNAcentral. Lineage: Eukaryota; Metazoa; Chordata; Mammalia; Primates; Hominidae.
AGACUGGAAAAGAAUGGCCCAGAUCCUCUGGACUCCUCAGAUGAGCGGAUUCAGAGAGAAGCUUUUGAGAGCGUGCUGGCGGAGACAUUUUUCACAAAAGAGCCCUUGCGGUGCUGGUGUCCGUGGCGUGCCUGGGCCCACCAACGCUGGCCGGCCUCCAAGCACCCGGGCCUCUGCUCAUGUACAGCUCCUGAACUGCCCUGCCUCUGAGUUACUGUGGAAAAUGAGCUUAUAUAUGAAGAAGUCAGCGAGUGGACAAAGCCAGGCGCAAUGGAUAGCAAAGAUGUGGAAGUCUCCUCGAUUCAAGUUACAAGAAAACCGCAGCAUGGAGUCUGCUCUCAGCUGUUGGGGAAUUACCGAUGCCUUUGACUAAGUCAAGACUGACUUUUCCAGAAUAUCACCCAAGAGAUAGAGCCGUCCCUGUCCAAGUUUGUGCGCUAGCCCUUCAUGGAGGUCAGAGAGGAAGAAACAAAGGCAGCUGUGGCCUCGGCGGUCACAGUGUCAGAACGCACAAGCCCCAUAAAGAGGUUUCACGCAGGCCACCCAUCCCUUUUCAUUCUCCAGCAGAACAGGACAGAGAGCGUUCUGUUCUGCGGAAGGUCUUCCACUCUACAAGGCAAUCCCUCCAGCUGCUUUGCUGUAUUGUGCUGUCUCCUGUCACACUAUGAAUGCAGUGACCUCAGCCAGCAACAGGGAGAACCCCCCUGCCUCCCGAACAAAGGACCUCACGUGAAAUCCUGAGCUCAGAGCUUACAGAUAUGUGUGCGCUUUCACUUUACAUCGGCCGUGACUUCCAAACAACUUCAGGAAACUUUAGGAUCUCUGAGGUAUACUGGAGAUGACAGCAGCGUAGAAUGUUCAUUUGGAUUUAGAACAGAAAUGCUUAUUUUAUAUUUGGCUGCUCCCAAACUGUCCCCAGACUUCCUCUCCAGUGGUUACCCUCCACUGCCCUGGAUGUCCCACGUUUACACUCCACACUCACACCUCCACCUUAACAAAGUCCUCCACUGGGUCAAACCAUACAUCGCUUCGUCUCUGUAGUGAUGACUUCCUGUCCUCUGCUCUGUGGAUAAAGACCCCAGAUAAAGAUGCCUGUGUUGCUCAACUCUUGUAAAUACUCUUGAGACAUUUUGAAAGCAGAAGGAAAGGAGACAGACGGGGAAAAUAAAAGGGAUGGUCUGCUUGUGCGGAAACGUUUUGAGAAUGCCCUUCCCUAAGAGAGAACAGUAAAAGUGAGCAAUACUUCCUG